This 137-nucleotide non-coding RNA is filed under the name Palpitomonas bilix. The record is from RNAcentral.
UUUUUCUUCUUCUUUUAAUUUUUUUGGGCUGUUCUUGAACUCCUUCUUUUUCUUUGUCAAGCAUGGGUGAAGGUCAGAGCGCUAACAAGCACCCAAGCAACAAAAAGGAAAUGAAUGAAUGGGAUUCUUCCUUUUUG